GGGGGUGACACGGUUUCGACUGUGAGGGUCGAGGCGCCGGAAGCGAGCCGAGGAACCCCGGAGUCCUCGUUAAAUCGCCGGGAAACGCAUACGUGCCGACGACAAUCUGGCACUGGCUGCCUAAGUAGCAGCCUGUCCGCCCGGUGGGUGCCUGCCUCGCCGGAACGGGCAACGCAAUGCAGGAGGCAGCCGUGGGGGCGCCGGAGACCCACGGUCGAGAUCACCUCCGGAUAGGGUCGCGGACAGACGUGCCGACAGCGGUUCACGACCCGAAAGCUCGCUGUUGGCUGCGCUCGGAGAUGCCGACGCUGAAACCUCACGGGACGGGGGUUCGACUCCCCCCACCUCCACCG
Molecule: transfer-messenger RNA, 353 nt
Filed under: Actinomycetota bacterium
Lineage: Bacteria; Bacillati; Actinomycetota
Rfam family: transfer-messenger RNA
About the family: Bacterial tmRNA, also known as 10Sa RNA or SsrA, is named for its dual tRNA and mRNA-like properties. Its role is to liberate the mRNA from a stalled ribosome.
Source: RNAcentral